AUGAGAGAAAAAAAGAAGAUACUCGCAGGAUGAGAGUGAUGACGGAGUGCAAUUCAACGCUUGAACAUCCGAACAAAAAUCCUUCUAUAUGCAACCAAACAAUAAAUGUUGUAUUGGUUCCAUUUCUAUUUCAGGCUAAAUUGGUACUACUCAUGUUCAAUUUAAUUCUCCUAUGCUCAAUAUCUACAUCCAAAUAGCCUCCGUGCCCGCCUACAGACACCUCGAGGACCGCCCCCUCUCCCCCAGUCCCACUCCAACCGCACCACUGUGGGCGUCGCCCCCGAGCUCGGACCACGACCUUUCCACCCUCCGUGCCCGCUGUCGCUCCUCGUUGCCGGCCGCCAUCGAUCUUAGCGGCGGUGUCGACGCUUGCAUGGACGAUGCCCUCAAUGUGUUCGGUGAAAUGGGCACACGGUCGCAGUGGACGAUCGAUGGAUGGCUGUGGUUGUGAAGAUAGUCGAGCGCAUCGAAGAUGUCAGCAGCUAUGCCAAGUCUUUGCGAAAGGCUGAGGGUGUUUUCUGCAGUGGGGUUGCUCGACCGGGGAUGGAUCCAGUCGUCUAAGCUGCCAUUGGCCAUGAACUCAAAAACCAACGCCUUGAACUCUUCGCCUUGCGGACCAGCACUCGAGCAGCAGGUGACGAUCUUCAGGAGACAGCGAUGGCGUACCCUUCUCAGAGUCUCACACUCGGCCUCGAAACUCUUUGAGGAUCCUGAUUGCUGAAGGUUGAACACUUUUACGGCUACGGUUGCAGCUGCACCUGCACCUUCCUCUUCCUCUUCUAGAGUACAUCUGUAAACAGAACCGUAUCUUCCUCUGCCGAGCAAGUUAGCCUCUGAAAACCCGUCAGUUCCUCUUGACAAUGUGUGAUACGAAACUCUCUGAAACUGUUUGUCAUUAACUUCAGAUACGGCUUCUC
Long non-coding RNA from Zea mays, 917 nucleotides. RefSeq lists it as uncharacterized. NCBI's taxonomy places the organism in Eukaryota, Viridiplantae, Streptophyta, Magnoliopsida, Poales, Poaceae. The record is from RefSeq and is a predicted model, not a curated record. The transcript is spliced from 2 exons.